Molecule: ribosomal RNA, 494 nt
Filed under: uncultured bacterium
Lineage: Bacteria
Description: partial 16S ribosomal RNA
Rfam family: Bacterial small subunit ribosomal RNA
Source: RNAcentral
GACGAACGCUGGCGGCGUGCUUAACACAUGCAAGUCGAACGGUGAAGCGCCUUCCUUUUUGGCGGCUGUGGACGAGUGGCGAACGGGUGAGUAACACGUGAGUAACCUGCCCCCUUCUUCUGGAUAACCGCAUGAAAGUGUGGCCAAUACGGGAGAUUCUGGGUCUGUCGCAUGGUGGGUCUGGGAAAGAUUUUGUUUCGGUGUGGGAUGGGCGCGCGGCCUUUCAGCUUGUUGGGGGGGUGGUGGCCUACCAAGGCGGUGCCGGGUAGCCGGCCUGCGAGGGUCGGCGGCCACACUGGGGCGACGACGCCGCGCAGACUCCGAGAGGAGGCAGCAGGGAAUAGUAUAGCACGGGGGGAGCAAGGCUGAAGCAGCGACGCGGCGUGGGGGAUGGCGGCCGUCGGGUUGUGAGCCUCUUUCGGGGGUGAAGCAGGCUUGCCUCGUAUGUGGGUGGGUUGACGGUAGCUGGAGAAGAAGCACCGGCUAACUACGUG